This 437-nucleotide ribosomal RNA is filed under the name fungal sp. RNAcentral's name for it is "SSU rRNA". It matches the Rfam family "Eukaryotic small subunit ribosomal RNA", at positions 636 to 1077 of the family's 1831-position model. Lineage: Eukaryota; Fungi. The record is from RNAcentral.
GGUUACGGGUCAAAUUUUAUCGGUCGUGCCAAUGGUAUGAACUGGUACAAUUGGUUUCUCCCUUCUGACGAAGCAUGAUGUCAUUAAUUUGGUGUCGUGGGGAAUCAGGACUGUUACUUUGAAAAAUUAGAGUGUUUAAAGCAAGCAUUAGCUUGAAUACAUUAGCAUGGAAUAAUGAAAUAGGACGUUUGAUCUAUUUCGUUGGUUUCUAGGAUCGACGUAAUGAUUAAUAGGGAUAGUUGGGGGCAUUAGUAUUCAAUUGUCAGAGGUGAAAUUCUUGGAUUUAUUGAAGACUAACUACUGCGAAAGCAUUUGCCAAGGAUGUUUUCAUUAAUCAAGAACGAAAGUUAGGGGAUCGAAGACGAUCAGAUACCGUCGUAGUCUUAACCAUAAACUAUGCCGACUAGGGAUCGGAUGAUGUUAAUUUUUAAUGACUC